Molecule: ribosomal RNA, 887 nt
Filed under: Salinibacterium sp.
Lineage: Bacteria; Bacillati; Actinomycetota; Actinomycetes; Micrococcales; Microbacteriaceae
Description: bacterial SSU rRNA
Rfam family: Bacterial small subunit ribosomal RNA
Source: RNAcentral
CUGGAAAACGGUGUCUAAUACCGGAUACGAGCUUCCACCGCAUGGUGAGGAGUUGGAAAGAAUUUCGGUCUGGGAUGGACUCGCGGCCUAUCAGCUAGUUGGUGAGGUAACGGCCCACCAAGGCGACGACGGGUAGCCGGCCUGAGAGGGUGACCGGCCACACUGGGACUGAGACACGGCCCAGACUCCUACGGGAGGCAGCAGUGGGGAAUAUUGCACAAUGGGCGCAAGCCUGAUGCAGCAACGCCGCGUGAGGGACGACGGCCUUCGGGUUGUAAACCUCUUUUAGUAGGGAAGAAGCGAAAGUGACGGUACCUGCAGAAAAAGCACCGGCUAACUACGUGCCAGCAGCCGCGGUAAUACGUAGGGUGCAAGCGUUAUCCGGAAUUAUUGGGCGUAAAGAGCUCGUAGGCGGUUUGUCGCGUCUGCUGUGAAAACUGGAGGCUCAACCUCCAGCCUGCAGUGGGUACGGGCAGACUAGAGUGCGGUAGGGGAGAUUGGAAUUCCUGGUGUAGCGGUGGAAUGCGCAGAUAUCAGGAGGAACACCGAUGGCGAAGGCAGAUCUCUGGGCCGUAACUGACGCUGAGGAGCGAAAGCAUGGGGAGCGAACAGGAUUAGAUACCCUGGUAGUCCAUGCCGUAAACGUUGGGAACUAGAUGUAGGGACCAUUCCACGGUUUCUGUGUCGCAGCUAACGCAUUAAGUUCCCCGCCUGGGGAGUACGGCCGCAAGGCUAAAACUCAAAGGAAUUGACGGGGGCCCGCACAAGCGGCGGAGCAUGCGGAUUAAUUCGAUGCAACGCGAAGAACCUUACCAAGGCUUGACAUAUACGAGAACGGGCCAGAAAUGGUCAACUCUUUGGACACUCGUAAACAGGUGGUGCAUGGU